Molecule: non-coding RNA, 1475 nt
Organism: Heterocephalus glaber (naked mole-rat)
Lineage: Eukaryota; Metazoa; Chordata; Mammalia; Rodentia; Bathyergidae
Source: RefSeq, a predicted model, not a curated record
AUUGGGUGCGGGGGAUUUAGCUCAGUGGUGCCACUGCCUGCCUCGAAAACACCAGGUCCUGAGUUCGAUCCCCGGUACCCCCCCAAAUCAGCUAAUUGGCUGGGAGCCCUUGUUCCUUCAGUGCCAUCCCAUCCGUUGUCUGGGGGGGACAGCGAGGAGGCCUCUGUGGAGAGCACCUGCCUGUGUCCCUUGCUCUGGGGAGCUGGGCAGUGGCCGGCUCUUGGAGAUACUGAGAGCCAGAGGUGACUCUUGUUCCUCCUUGUGGGCAGUGCUGGGUCCCCCAGUGUGGACGGGUGAGAACCCCAAUCCUUAACUCAGGCCCAAUGCUCUAGGCUGGUGACCAUCCGUGUGACCUUUGAAGAGGGCUGUUCUUUUCCUGGCCACUUUGGGUCACAGGAUCACAGAGAAGGGAGCCUCACAGGGGGAUAGAAAUUGUUUGUCAGCCCCCUGAAUCAUUCCACAAGCUCUGCUUAUUUCAUAUUUAUCACAUAACUCAUGGCCUGACAUGAACCCCCAAACACUCGUGGUAGGUGCUAUAAUCUGCUCCUCUCCUUUCAUAACCCUAAUUUUCUAUAUACUUAGAGAAGGAGGGUUAUAUGGCAGAGUGAUUUUCUCAAUAAUACUUAAUUCUGAAUAACUUAGUACAGAGUUUAACUGGCCUUUGGUGACGCCUGAAGAUUACUGUAAAAUCAGAUGAGAAUUAAUCUCCUCCAGUGUUCAGCACUGUGGCCAAGAGCAUUUUAAAAUAUAUUUCACCCCUUAAAGCUUCCUAUAAACUAUUUAUGAAAUUCUAAGUCAGUACACCUGUAAUCCUUAGCGUCCAGCCCAGGGCAGUACUGGUGAACCUGCUGCAAUGUGUUACAGAUGUGCUGUAGCAACCAGGGAGGGAGGAGGAGGCACCAUUGCCAGGCAUCAGAACUAUCUGCCACGGUACUAGAUGAAUUUGAGUUACUUUCAGGGUCGCUGUUUUCCUGGUGUCUGGAUUCCAGGUCCAGGGAGGCUGUGUUUUGCUGCCAGUCUCUACUCUGCUGGUCUGGAAGCAGCAACCUCUCCACCCUGAACCCUGGUGUCCUGUAUGACAAGGGUAUCGGCCAUUGCACUAAUGAAAACAUGAAUAUAAAUAUAAUUGUAUUUACUGAAAGGAACUGUGCCCUGUACACUACUGUUACCUCAUUAACAGAAAACACAAUAUAUGUUAGUGAAAUUUCCACAUCAAAUCAACUUCAUUCUCUGUAAUAGCUGCAUAUUAUUCUACUUCAUUAUAUUGUUUCUAGUUCUUUUCUAUUGAAAGCAAUAUUACAAUAAAUAACCCUAUGUAAGAUGGGCACAAUGGCACAUACCUAUACUCCCAACUGUUGUGGAUGCUGAGACAGGAGGAUUGCUUAAGUGCAGGAGUUCAAAACCAACUUGGGUAACAUAGUAGGAUCCCAUCUUGAAAAAAUUAAUAAAAUGAGAAAAAGAAAUAUAUCUUUGUA